CAAGUCGAACGAGAAAGUUCCCCGUAAGGGGGACGAGUAAAGUGGCAGACGGGUGAGUAACACGUGAACAAUCUACCCUCGAGUGGGGAAUAACCCCGCGAAAGCGGGGCUAAUACCGCAUAACACUUCUGGGACGCAUGUCCUGGAGAUCAAGGGCUUCGGUCGCUUGAGGAGGAGUUCGCGCCUGAUUAGCUAGUUGGUGAGGUAACGGCCCACCAAGGCAACGAUCAGUAGCCGGCCUGAGAGGGCGUACGGCCACACUGGAACUGAGACACGGUCCAGACUCCUACGGGAGGCAGCAGUGGGGAAUUUUGCGCAAUGGGCGAAAGCCUGACGCAGCAACGCCGCGUGGAGGAUGAAGGCCUUCGGGUCGUAAACUCCUGUCAGGGGGGACGAAACGCCGGGCAACCGGCUUGACUGUACCCCCGGAGGAAGCCACGGCUAACUCCGUGCCAGCAGCCGCGGUAAUACGGAGGUGGCUAGCGUUGUUCGGAAUUACUGGGCGUAAAGGGCGCGUAGGCGGCAUUGCAAGUCAGAUGUGAAAGCCCCGGGCUUAACUCGGGAACUGCAUCUGAAACUGCUUUGCUUGAGUCCUGGAGGGGGUAGUGGAAUUCCCAGUGUAGCGGUGAAAUGCGUAGAUAUUGGGAGGAACACCUGCGGCGAAGGCGGCUACCUGGACAGUGACUGACGCUGAGGCGCGAAAGCUAGGGGAGCGAACGGGAUUAGAUACCCCGGUAGUCCUAGCCGUAAACGAUGGGCACUUGGUGUUGGGGGUAUUGAGUCCCUCGGUGCCGGAGUUAACACGUUAAGUGCCCCGCCUGGGGAGUACGGUCGCAAGACUGAAACUCAAAGGAAUUGACGGGGGCCCGCACAAGCGGUGGAGCAUGUGGUUCAAUUCGACGCAACGCGAAGAACCUUACCGGGCUCGA
RNAcentral lists this ribosomal RNA (929 nucleotides) under uncultured Acidobacteriota bacterium. RNAcentral describes it as "bacterial SSU rRNA". It matches the Rfam family "Bacterial small subunit ribosomal RNA", at positions 58 to 984 of the family's 1533-position model. Lineage: Bacteria; Pseudomonadati; Acidobacteriota. The record is from RNAcentral.